UUUCCUACUGACUUUUAAUCCUGCUGCCUGCCUGACUUCGUUACCUCACACCAAACAAAAGAAAACAAUCUGAUGCUCCACAGCUCAGUGCUUAGCAAAAGCAAUUUGGAGAGAAGGUCUCGAUUAGAGCUGCACUGUGCACAUACAGGGCUAAACGGUGGCAUUUAGUCCUAGAAGGAUGCACUUUGGAGCCAUCCCACCCCAAGCAAAGUUCAGGGAGAUGCAAUCCCACCCUGAGUUUCAAAACGUGCAAGGGAAGUGCACAGCUGCACCCAUCUUGAGGAUGGCACGGCCUACUCCUGUCUGCUGAUCUUGGCGGGGGCAGAGGAACACACUUCUACAACAAAGGAAGCUUAUGGGAGAAGCAUGGUCAUCAGCUAAAGCACGGAUAAUGAAACCUGGGACAAAGAAAUCUGGAUCUACAGUGUCAAAAUGGAUUUAAGGAAGCUAUCUGGUCAUUGUUUACUACUGUCACUGCUCCUCGGGGGAACAGAACUGCAGGAUGUGAAGCUAAGUCAGGCCUGCUGAAUUAAUUAUGGUGGAUCACUAGGGACUGCAGCAAAGGCCUGAUCUGAGAAUGAAUGAAUCACAUGAUUCCACCCCCAAGAGAGGUGAUGGCUAGAGGCUUGAGACCUGAGAGGAGCGAGGAAGAAAUAACAUUGCAUAAAACUGCUGUUUGUUCAAUGAAAAUGGCCACUUGCCCAAGCAGCAGACAACUUGCAGAACUGAUCAGCCAUUAUCUUGGUGUCACUUCAUUUAAAGGGAAGAAUUUAUGCAGAAUUUCAAGGAAAUAAAAAAAGAGCAACGGACCUCUAGUAUCUGAACUGUCCAGGAGGCGCUUUUCGGGAAAUCCGGGACUGGCAGGGAGAGUGUUGGAGUCACCAAGAGGCUGGUGGAAGCCAGAGUGUUGACUGGAGUGUUGCUGGCAGGCUGCAGCUUUACACAAACAGACACUCAGGGUGUGACCUGCCUGUUGUCUGUGAGGGGCCCGGGUUGGGAACUACAGAGGCAAAGCAUUGUGAGACACCCAUGGUUGCAGGGCAGGGGGUGACAACAUCUUGCUAGUCUGGAUUGCAACCCAGAAUAUAACACACAUGUAGGGAAGAACUCAGGGACUGGGUUUCUGAGAUACUGGGAUACGUGAUAAUUGACAGAGAGACAGACUCUGACACUAGGAGAGGUCUGACAAGCUGGGCUAAUGUCCAAAGUCAAGAGAUCUGGGCAUCUUCUUUUUCUGAUUUCUCCAGUGUUUAAUUGCUCAAUUGAGCCAUAUCUAGAAUAGCUAUUACCCAAUUAAGGCUACAUAUCAUUUUAUACCUGAUCUUCUCUCACUUUUCUGAUAAACUUUGUUUUAAUUAAUAUCCUGGGUAAUUUGACUGUUUUUUGUGACACUCACAAAAUCAUCCCACAAAGAGAAAAUAAACCUUCAGCUUCUUAGGAGAAUUAACAAAGGACAGAAUGAAACCUAAGCCCUGCUCAUCUUCCCAGCAAAGACGGACUAGAAAGUCAACAUCCAUAACUAAGGCAGAGCUUCAAUCAGUGCAAUAUAUUGGAAAACCCAAUGCACCAUGGAUAGGAGCCAGGUUUGAUGCACACAGUUUCCUCCGUCAGAAGAGAAAAAUCACAUUUCUUUCUCUCUCUCUCAUUUCUGCUCAUUUAAAAUUGUAACUUGAAAUUUACAAUAAUUACUACAAUACCAUUUGAAUUGCACUCAGAAGCCCCAGUCAGGAUCAGAGCCCCAUUCUGCUAGUUGCUAAACAAACAUUU
Long non-coding RNA from Mauremys mutica (yellowpond turtle), 1767 nucleotides. RefSeq lists it as uncharacterized. Lineage: Eukaryota; Metazoa; Chordata; Testudines; Geoemydidae. The transcript is spliced from 5 exons. The record is from RefSeq and is a predicted model, not a curated record.